AUAAAUAUAUUUAUUUUUUUUUUCUGAUUUCUUGGCAAAGGAAAGUUGUAAGCUCAUGUAAUUAGUUCUUGCUGCAAACUCUCUCUCUCUCUCUCUCUCUCNNNNNNNNNNNACGUGGUUCUACUUUUUGAACAUGAAGAGCUCUAUUUAACAUGCCAACACAGCCUGUUAAACUUGGUCCUAGUAUUUUUGAUAUUAGCAUUUGGCUUUAACCACGAAUCCAGGUAUGUAAUUUCUUUCGAUUCCUAA
RNAcentral lists this unclassified non-coding RNA (249 nucleotides) under Hevea brasiliensis (rubber tree). The record is from RNAcentral. Lineage: Eukaryota; Viridiplantae; Streptophyta; Magnoliopsida; Malpighiales; Euphorbiaceae.